RNAcentral lists this ribosomal RNA (492 nucleotides) under uncultured bacterium. Its description in RNAcentral is "partial 16S ribosomal RNA". It matches the Rfam family "Bacterial small subunit ribosomal RNA", at positions 29 to 507 of the family's 1533-position model. The record is from RNAcentral.
AGUGAACGCUGGCGGUAGGCCUAACACAUGCAAGUCGAACGGCAGCACAGUAAGAGCUUGCCCUUCCGGGUGGCGAGUGGCGGACGGGUGAGGAAUACAUCCGAAUCUACUUUUUCGUGGGGGAUAACGUAGGGAAACUUACGCUAAUACCGCAUACGACCUACGGGUGAAAGCAGUGGAUCUUCGGACCUUGCGCGAUUGAAUGAGCCGAUGUCGGAUUAGCUAGUUGGCGGGGUAAAGGCCCACCCAGGCGACGAUCCGUAGCUGGACUGAGAGGAUGGUCAGCCACACGGGAACUGAGACACGGUCCAGACGCCUACGGGAGGCAGCAGUGGGGAAUAUGGGACAAUGGGCGCAAGCCUGAUCCAGCCAUACCGAGUGGGUGAAGAAGGCCUUCGGGUUGUAAAGCCCUCUUGUUGGGAAAGAAAAGCAGCAGGUUAAUACCCCGCUGUUCUGACGGUACCCAAAGAAUAAGCACCGGCUAACUUCGUG